AUGAAGACCAGGGGGCCCACACCCUUCUCACGAGGGUGGGGGGCGCCCCCCCCUAGGGCGCGCCCCCCCUACCUCGUGGGCCCCCUGGAUGCCCUCCGACGCCAACUCCAACUCUAUAUAUUUGCUUUAGAAGAGAAAAAAAUCAGAGAGAAGAAAUCAUCGCGUUUUACGAUACGGAGCCGCCGCCAAGCCCUAAAACCUCUCGGGAGGGUUGAUCUGGAGUCCGUUCGGGGCUUCGGAGUGGGGGAUUCGUCGCCGUCGUCAUCAUCAACCAUCCUCCAUCACCAAUUUCAUGAUGCUCACCGUCGUGCGUGA
RNAcentral lists this ribosomal RNA (315 nucleotides) under Triticum aestivum (bread wheat). RNAcentral's name for it is "partial small subunit ribosomal RNA". The record is from RNAcentral. Lineage: Eukaryota; Viridiplantae; Streptophyta; Magnoliopsida; Poales; Poaceae.